This 494-nucleotide ribosomal RNA is filed under the name uncultured bacterium. RNAcentral describes it as "partial 16S ribosomal RNA". It matches the Rfam family "Bacterial small subunit ribosomal RNA", at positions 28 to 507 of the family's 1533-position model. The record is from RNAcentral.
GACGAACGCUGGCGGCGUGCUUAACACAUGCAAGUCGAACGGAAAGGCCUGCUUUCCCUUGUGGAUUGCGGGUACUCGAGUGGCGAACGGGUGAGUAACACGUGAGUGAUCUGCCCCCAACUUGGGUAUAAGCCUGGGAAACUGGGUCUAAUUCCCGAUAGGACUGCAGGGUGGUGCCUGUGGUGGAACACGAUUUUCUAGUGGUUGGGGAUGAGCUGGCGGCCUAUCAGCUUGUUGGUGGGGUAAUGGCCUACCAAGGCGGCGACGGGUAGCCGGCCUGAGAGGGUGGACGGUCACAUUGAGACUGGGAUACGACCCAGACGGGUGCGGGAGGCAGGAGUGGGGAGUAUUGGGGAAUGAGCGGGAGCCUGAUGCAGCGAGGCCGUGAGGGGGAUGACGGGCUUCGGGUGGUAAACUCCUGUCGAACAAGAGGAAGCCGCCUGGUUGGAAGGGUGGUGACGGUAGUGGUAGAAGAAGCACCGGCUAACUACGUG